RNAcentral lists this ribosomal RNA (386 nucleotides) under uncultured bacterium. RNAcentral describes it as "bacterial SSU rRNA". It matches the Rfam family "Bacterial small subunit ribosomal RNA", at positions 29 to 416 of the family's 1533-position model. The record is from RNAcentral.
AUUAAACGCUGGCGGCAUGCCUUACACAUGCGAGUCGAACGGCAGCACGGGGGCAACCCUGGUGGCGAGUGGCGGACGGGUGAGUAAUGCAUCGGAACGUGCCCUGAAGUGGGGGGAUAACGCAGCGAAAGCUACGCUAAUACCGCAUAUUCUGUGAGCAGGAAAGCAGGGGAUCGCAAGACCUUGCGCUUUGGGAGCGGCCGAUGUCGGAUUAGCUAGUUGGUGGGGUAAAGGCCUACCAAGGCGACGAUCCGUAGCGGGUCUGAGAGGAUGAUCCGCCACACUGGGACUGAGACACGGCCCAGACUCCUACGGGAGGCAGCAGUGGGGAAUUUUGGACAAUGGCGCAAGCCUGAUCCAGCCAUGCCGCGUGAGUGAAGAAGGCC